This 1082-nucleotide ribosomal RNA is filed under the name Candidatus Hodgkinia cicadicola. RNAcentral's name for it is "bacterial SSU rRNA". It matches the Rfam family "Bacterial small subunit ribosomal RNA", at positions 419 to 1520 of the family's 1533-position model. Lineage: Bacteria; Pseudomonadati; Pseudomonadota; Alphaproteobacteria; Hyphomicrobiales. The record is from RNAcentral.
UUAACUGUAAAGCUCUUUUAUCGGUGAUAAUUAUGAUUGUAACCGAAGAAUAAGCUCCGGCUAACUCCGUGCCAGCAGCCGCGGUAAUACGGGGGGAGCAAGUGUUGUUCGGAUUUAUUGGGCGUAAAGGGCGCGUAGGCGGUUUGAUAAGUUGAUACUUAAAUUUUGAGGCUUAACCUCAUUAAAAGUGUCAAUACUGUUAAGCUAGAGCUUAGUGGGGGUGAACGGAAUUCCAAGUGUAGAGGUGAAAUUCGUAGAUAUUUGGAGGAACGCCGGAGGCGAAGGCGGUUCAUUAUGCUAAGUUGACGCUAAUGUGCGAAAGCGUGGGGAGCAAACAGGAUUAGAUACCCUGGUAGUCCACGCCGUAAACGAUGAGUGCUAACAGUUGAGGAUAGGUUUGGCUAUUGUUUGAUUGUGAAAGCUAACGCGUUAAGCACUCCGCCUGGGGAGUACGAUCGCAAGAUUAAAACUCAAAGGAAUUGACGGAUACUCGUACAAGCGGUGGAUCAUGUGGUUUAAUUCGAAACGAAUCGAAGAACCUUACCAGCUCUUGACAUUUUAGGCUGAAACGUUGAGAAAUUAACAAUUCGGCUUUCCAUGAAAGGAAAGCAGGCCUUUAACAGGUGCUGCAUGGUUGUCGUCAGUUCGUGUCGUGAGAUGUAUGGUUAAGUCCUAUAACGAACGCAACCCUUAUCCUUAGUUGCUUAUUAAGCUCUUUAAGGUGGACCGCUAAUGUUUAUUUAGAGGAAGGGAAGGAUGACGUCUAGUCUUCAUGGCCCUUAUGGGCUGGGCUACACACGUGCUACAAUGGUGGUCACAGAAAGUCGCAAAGUCGCGAGACUGAGCAAAUCUUAAAAGGCCAUCUUAGUUCGGAUUGUACUCUGCAACUCGAGUGUAUGAAGUAGGAAUCGCUAGUAAUCGCGGAUCAGCAUGCCGCGGUGAAUACGUUCUCGGGUCUUGUACACACUGCCCGUCACACCAUGGGACUUGGUUUUGUCUUAAGCUUCGAUAGACGAAGUGAAAAUAAGGUUGAUGACCGGGGUGAAGUCGUAACAAGGUAGCUGUAGGGGAACCUGCGGCUG